This 1008-nucleotide long non-coding RNA is filed under the name Naja naja (Indian cobra). RNAcentral describes it as "lncRNA (ENSNNAG00000018953.1)". The record is from RNAcentral. Lineage: Eukaryota; Metazoa; Chordata; Lepidosauria; Squamata; Elapidae.
CUCCUGCACAGGGCAACCAAAAGAGACCCAGCCGAUCAGCUGGGACUGAAUGGGAGGCAGUGAAGAGAUGGGGUUGGCAGGGCCAGUCAGAGGUGGGAUUGGCCAGUUCUCCAAAUGACUCACAAUUUCCACUACCAGGUCGUCAGAACUGGUCAGAACCGGCCACUCCAACUUUAUGGUUCUAUAUUCUACGAGAGGACAGCAUAAUCCUGACAGGGAAGGAAGGGAAAUUUAAAGGCUGUAUUAUUCUGGUGACUUUUUGUGGGUGACACCUUUCUCCUGUUGCCAGCUCAGCUCCGUCAGUUGCUGGGAAUUGUGGGUAGAGGAAAAUUACCCCAUGCAGAGAGUCCUCAUUUAGCAACCACAAGUGGAACCAGCAACCUGGUUGUUAACAAAGCAGUUUCUAAAAAAAAAACCCUGAUGAUCUGACUCCAGUUUUUCUUCACUUUACAGACCUGCCGAGGUCACCAAUGAGAUGGCUGGUUAUUGUUUCCCCACUGUCAGAACUGCAAACGGUCAUUAAUUGAGGACUACUUGCAUAGGGAACAGACCUCUACAGGGUUUCUCAUGUUUGACCAACCUCUGCUCUUUUUUUUUGCAGACAAGGGGCUGCCUCAAGCAGUGCGUGGAUUGUGGGAGUGAUUGCAGCUGUUAUCGGCUUUCUGGUUGUCCUUGGUAUUCCCUUUGUGUGUGGAGGAAGAAAGCUGCCAAGAGGAAACAACAGUUCACAAUGCGCUCAGAGAUCGAAAACUCACCUAGGAGUGAUUCCACUUUAAUAGGAGACCAGCCCAAGGAAACCAGGAGGAAGACAAAUCAGCCAGCUAGAACAGCAGCAAAGAACAGCCAGGAGAUGCCCCACACCAUUUAUGCCGCUGUGCAGCAUCCCAAACAGAAAGGAUGAAGUGCAUAAGCGCAUCAACGUGCCUACCGUCCCUGUCCUAUUGUUUCUUUUUAUUUUUCUUAUAUGUAUCCAUUUCAUGUGUUCAUAACUAUGUUUAUACUUAUACC